CCCCGACAUUUCCUUUCAGUCGGAAAUUAGAAACCCUAGCAGAGCUAAACUCGUCCAUUUCGCAUCCCCUCCGACGCGAUUUGGGCUUCGAUUCGGCCGUCUGGUAGAGGAUAUUCGAGGAAGGGUUGAUCUCCGCCGCUCCAUUGCCGGUCGGAAAGUGGAAGGAGAAGCGGAAACUAGGCGGACGUCCCUGCUCAGAUAUGUUUCUACAUCCCCAUUUGGAGAAGAAUGGUGAAGAUUCCCAAGCAAGUAGAAGGAUUUGUGCUCAGAACGUGAAAAUUGUAUUUGACGCAGCCAUUAAGGUGGUACUGCAGCCCCCUAAGCAGAGGAAGAGAAAGAAGAGAAAAUCCCACGGCGGCUGCUCCAAACUAUGAUUCAUGAAGAGAAGAUGAAGAAGAAAAGCCAUUCGGAAUGUUGGGCAGUUCAGGGAUGAGGUUCUGUUAGGUACUUACAGAAGAAGCACCAGAGGGCUUUGCUUUGGUUAGUUUAUCGAUUUGACUGAGAGGAGCAGGUCGAAGGUUAACAGUUUCUAGAAGGGGGCUUUAUAUUAUUGUUGGGCUUAUGUUGUGAUAUGCAUAAUAUUGUAGAUGGGACGACGAUGUGAUACAAAAUGCAGUUACGAUUUCAUUCUCCUCCUUUCCUUUCCCUUCUCUUCCUCGCAUUUUUUUUCCUUUUAAUGAAUUGUAUCCAAACGAGUAAUGAAUGCAAAAUCGGUUUUCAA
Non-coding RNA from Punica granatum (pomegranate), 721 nucleotides. The record is from RefSeq and is a predicted model, not a curated record. NCBI's taxonomy places the organism in Eukaryota, Viridiplantae, Streptophyta, Magnoliopsida, Myrtales, Lythraceae.